UCAAGCUGCCCCUGGUCGCUGCCUGUACUCAGGAACGUGGCAGGUCCCUGCACUGGGGAACGUGGCCGGUCCCGGGUGUGGGAGCCACCUCCCGCCCUGGUCAGAAGGUAAACGUCCUGCAGAGCUGCCUGGGGUGGGGAGGGGCUGGGUGGAGACCACUUCCGACUCCUGGGAUGUCUCCAUCCCUGGCCGAUCCUGGGUGCUGGAGCUUAGCAAACGAGUUCAUGCAUGGUCUGCCCCUGUGCAGACGAAGAGCCUGAGGUCCAAGAGGACCCAGGAUGCUGUGACCACCUCUGCCAACCUCUGGGGCUUCUCGGGAACCCUGCUCCAGGGAGGUGCUUCCUUCUCUGAACCUGGGUUUUCUCAACUGUAAAACGGAUGUAAUCUGGUGCCCACCGCCCCAGCCACUGUGUGGGCAGAGGGCAGCUGGCAGGCCUUGAUGGGGCUUCUCCUGCAGUUUGACAAAGUUCCCCCCAGAUGAGUCCUAGGCUUCUAAGUGCCCAAGAAACCAGCAGAGCCGCAUUCCAGAUCCCCUGGCACAAGGGCAAAGGUCUCGGGGGCUGUGGUGCCGAACCUGACUUUCCAGCCCCAGUCAUCUCAAGAGAGAAGGUCCCCCUUCCCACAGAUGGGCCGGCCAGGGCCCCCCGGAGAGAAGGUCGCUGACAUCCAGCUGUCUGGUGCCCCUGCCGCCCUCCACCAUGCCCUUGGAGAUGCCAUCCUCGGUCCCGAGGACUCGGACCUGGUGCCCUCUGUGACCCUGGCCGCAGCCCUGGUCCUGGUGUUCCUCCUGCUCUUGGCCUGGCUGGUGUAACACAGGCCCCUCUGAGUCUGCUGCUGCUGUGGCCUCCGAGGCAGAAGGUGGCGUAUCUGUUGGCCGGGCUGGGCAGGAGUCAGGAGUGGAGCUCCAGGAGCAGAUCCAGGGACGGGGCUGGAGGGUGGGGGUCUGCAGGGGCGGGGAGUUGAGGGUAAGAGUGUGGGGAAAACUUGUGGCCUCUGUCUAUGGCAGCCCCCGUGGGACCCCAGGAAGACCCCAAGGCCCCCCCCACUGGAGAGCGGGAACCCAGGGGAGCCCUAGUCUCUGCUUUCCAACGUCACUGCUGGAGGCUCACCCCUCCAGAUGGCGGCAGAUGGUGGGCUAAGAGCCUGGGGCCCCAGAAAGUGCUGCGGCAGAUGGGGCUCAAAUCCACCUCACCCAGGUUUGCCGCAGGGCUGGAGUCCCCAUCUUUGCACGACCAUCCGGGUGCUGCAAAUAAAGCCAGGUGAUCCCUGGGAAUUUGUGGAAGGAAAUCAAAGUGAGUCCAGAAAUGAGCGUUCCAGCCCAGGCUCUGUCCACGAAGGGUUGUGACGGUCCAUGUGGUCUUGGCCCGCCACCUGCUGGCUGAAGUGAGAAUUGCACCAUCUGCCGUGCGAUCCCUUUGGGCGUUCCUCAGGGCAGAGGAGGUGAGGGUGUUUUAUUCUUCAAACUGGAAAAAUUUGAGAUUAUGGAUUAAACACAAGUCCUGUUACUUAGAGAGAGCUUCUUUUACCAUUUGCUAUUUAUCUUCGUUCCUUUCAGUUCUGUAUCUAUAAUUUUGCCCCCAAAAUAUCCUCAGGAAGGGGGUGGAGGGGGUGGGAGAGAAUUGUGUACAUCGGGGGGGCAGUGGUGAUGGGUCACACUGCCCAGGGUCACUGGAGUCUUGCUGCGCCAUGGUGGCCCCGUCCUGGACCUUGACAAAGGAAGGCACGAGUUGCUGAGGAUGGGAGGGGCGUGGGACCUUCAGGUUAGGACCGGGAGGCACCAGGACCCCUCUGUCCUCAUUGAACAAAUACUUAUCAAGACGCUAUGUGCCAGACACGGGAAGGCGGACGGGGCGGGGGCGCCCAGAGAGCUCGGGGCUGGCCCUCCCCAGGGAAGGGAAGGCCUCUGGCGUGAGCCCCAACCACAGACUUCCCCUCCGGGGGUGACGUUUCUUUUCCCUGCUCCUCCGGCUUCUCAGAGUCAAAGCACGCACCUGUGUGUCCAGGCUGGUGUGCCGGGAGCGGCAGAUGCCCUCUGUCCCCCACCGCUGCGUGGAUUCAGCCCAGUGGAGAGGGCAGGCCCAGCGUGUGGCAGGGGCAGGGGCAGGGGCAGGGCUCUGCUGGGGCCAUAAGCUCCGGGAACUGCACCUGCGAGGACGAUCCCGUUCAGGGACCGGUUUUAUAAACGCUGAGCGUGUGCGGUAGCGACGUGGGCAUCCUUCCUCCCAGCCUGGUGGAGGGCCGCUGGGGGUCUGCAAGGCGAGGGGGUCCUCCAGCUGUCCUCGCAGUUAGGUGACUGAGUCAGUUCUGGCCCAGAGUUCCAGUCCUGGGGGCCAGGCCCCAGAGAGCCACGCCAAAGACCUGGCCGGACACUCCUUGUGGAUUUUCUUGGGGACCUUCUCGGGGUGCCGGCCCACCCGCACUAUCAGCCCUCAUGUGGCAGGCGGGGACCCGAGGCCUGCGGGAGAGAAGGCGGCUGCCUGGGAGAUGGACACGGUCUGAUCUGAGCAGAAUAUGUUCCAUUGGGAGACCCGAGGGCAUCCCAG
This is a long non-coding RNA of Leopardus geoffroyi (Geoffroy's cat), 2543 nucleotides long. RefSeq lists it as uncharacterized. NCBI's taxonomy places the organism in Eukaryota, Metazoa, Chordata, Mammalia, Carnivora, Felidae. The record is from RefSeq and is a predicted model, not a curated record. The transcript is spliced from 8 exons.